CCUAAUUUGAUUGUCAGUGGUUUUAAUCUUUUAAUUUUCAAAAAUCACACAGUUUUGAUUUUAUGUUAGAAAGGGGAGCUACAAAAUUUGGAAAUAUUGUCCCCCCUUUUUUUUUUACUUCAGUUAACAUGACCCAUGUUUUGUAAUAAUUAAAACAAAGUCAAUAACAUUUUCGUGGAAAGAAAAUAUUAGUUAAUUUCCUUGCACCCCCUCCCUUUUCCACCAAGUGAAUAAAAAUAUCAGAUCAAAUUGUCAAUGGCUUAAUUUUUUUUGAUUCCUCUCAUAAGUCAAUUGUGUGUGAGUAUUUGUAUAUUUAUAAAUUAUCAUGAAUCAACGUUUUUAUGAGUAACUUCCUUUGGUUGAAUUGUCAUCAUUUCAGACUGAAUAUGAUGAAAGAUUCUUUUCCGGCAAUUGGAAAGUUGCGCCUUUUUGGUAAAAGUUCGGAAAUCAUCGUAUCACUUUAUUAUUUUCAUACGUACUUGGAGAGAUGUUCCGAAAAAGUCCGGGAAAAUAUUACUUCCCUUUAACAAAAGUUCGGGAAAAACAGUCAACUUCCGGGCACGUAAAUUUGAAAUUAGUCAAAAUAGUUAAAAUCUUUUUAUUAUAUGCUGGAGAUGGACUAAAAAUGUUACGAACAAUACCAAUUUGAUAAAUAUCAACGAUGUGUGCGAUCUGACGGCAAGGAAGGCACGUUUUCCCAGAGAAAUCGUUGGGGAAUCCAGGUAGGUCAAUCUAUUUAUUUAUAGAUAGCAGAAAAAUGGCGUCGAGUUAGUUGCCUUUUUGUUUCUUAGUAUGGAUAGUAAAAUUGGGUAUUUUCUCUGGGUCGUUUAAAUCACUCGAAACUAGGUGAGACAUGCACAGAAGUGAUAGAUAUGUAUUAUAAAUAUAAAAAAUUGAAUAUUUUAAUAAAAAAAAAAAAAAAAAAAAAAAAAUCUGUAUCAUAGACCCAAGCGCCUGUGAUC
Molecule: long non-coding RNA, 962 nt
Filed under: Mytilus galloprovincialis (Mediterranean mussel)
Lineage: Eukaryota; Metazoa; Mollusca; Bivalvia; Mytilida; Mytilidae
Source: RNAcentral